Molecule: long non-coding RNA, 415 nt
Filed under: Notechis scutatus (mainland tiger snake)
Lineage: Eukaryota; Metazoa; Chordata; Lepidosauria; Squamata; Elapidae
Description: lncRNA (ENSNSUG00000010263.1)
Source: RNAcentral
AUUGUAUGUUACUGCCAAAUAUUUUUCUUAUAGAUUUCUGAAUUGUUCAACGUUCUGUUGAAUGCCUGAGACAACUUACAAUGAAUCAACAAAAUUAAGAAAUGGAGACAUUAAGACGCUCCAUAAAACCAGAAUAGGAAUAAAGAGGAUUUCCAGAGCUGCAAAUAUGAGGUUUGGCCCAUUCCUGGUCAAUAAGAUAAGAGGGUGAAUUUUCUCCAUGAGCUUUUCCUGAGUCCCAAGAUUCACAUCACCAGAAGGCUGUUUGAGAUGCACAAAUCCCAGGAGGAAGCAGGUCAAGAUGGGAAGUCUCAAAAACAUUCCAGAAGAAAAAAAAAGUGGCAAAGUGUUUCUGCACAGUUGCAUGGAAAAACUUCAAAGACAGCUCUCCAUGAAGAUACCAAGAGUUUAACUUGAU